Molecule: ribosomal RNA, 253 nt
Filed under: uncultured bacterium
Lineage: Bacteria
Description: partial 16S ribosomal RNA
Rfam family: Bacterial small subunit ribosomal RNA
Source: RNAcentral
UACGUAGGGAGCAAGCGUUGUCCGGAAUCAUUGGGCGUAAAGCGCGCGUAGGUGGCCACAUAAGUCCGUUGUGAAAGUCAAAGGCUCAACCUUUGAAAGCCGAUGGAUACUGUGUGGCUAGAGUACGGAAGAGGCGAGUGGAAUUCCUGGCGUAGCGGUGGAAUGCGCAGAUAUCAGGAGGAACACCAAUAGCGAAGGCAGCUCGCUGGGACGUUACUGACACUGAGGCGCGAAAGCGUGGGGAGCGAACAGG